AUCCUCCAGAGUUCUUACCCAUUGGACCCAAACACUGGUUUGAAUGGUUAUAAAAGGAAGAAAAGUCAAAUAAUCACUGACUUAAAUUUUAUUGUGACACACAAGAGAGACUCAAAAACAC
This 121-nucleotide small nucleolar RNA is filed under the name Echinops telfairi (small Madagascar hedgehog). RNAcentral's name for it is "Small nucleolar RNA SNORA61 (ENSETEG00000024507.1)". The record is from RNAcentral. Lineage: Eukaryota; Metazoa; Chordata; Mammalia; Afrosoricida; Tenrecidae.